Molecule: unclassified non-coding RNA, 3828 nt
Filed under: Hevea brasiliensis (rubber tree)
Lineage: Eukaryota; Viridiplantae; Streptophyta; Magnoliopsida; Malpighiales; Euphorbiaceae
Source: RNAcentral
UUAACAUUAGAAAAAGAAAUUCAUUAAUUUUAAUCUCUAUUUAAUAAAUCUGCUUAAUAAAAGACAACUUAUACAAAAUCAACGCUACUACUAAAUUAUCAAAUUCAAAUUCUUCAUUUUAUGAAAUUAAAGUUCAACAAAUCUUUAUGAAAACACUUAUAAAAUUGAGUAAUUACAGAUAAUAUUUACCCUGCCAUGCCUAAAUGCGAGCCUUGUUGCAAAACAGAGAAAAACCUGUUUGCCAUACCAUGUUCUCCAUUCGUCCAACAAUUGCCCAAGUCCUUGUUUUUAUGGCAUUUCUUUGCUGCAAAUUUCUUUCUGCCUCCCUCGGACUUUGAAGGUUCGAGUAAGGGAGAGUUUGGUUGAGUAGUGCUUAAACACUCUAUGUGCCGAUUGUAUUAUUUUUCCUUGCUUGUUCAUAUGGAUCUACAGUCUCUCAUGGGAGGCUAGUGGUGAGAAGCUUCUGCAAUCUCCCAUGGGAGGGUAGUGGUGAGAAACUGCUGUAGAAAAUAGGUGCUGGUUAAACCGGGAAAUCCCUAGGGUUUCUUUCUUUUAGGACCUGGGCUUAGAAAAUGCUUGUAGCCAAUUUGUAUGGGCUGAACCCCUAUAACAUCAAUGAAAUUUCUGAUAAAAAGAAAACAAAAAAAAAAAAACAGAGAAAUUUGAACAUCAACUUCAAUUUGCCAAUCCAUCAACUGAUAAAGGAUUCUCAUAUCCAUCAUCUGAUAAAGGAUUCUCAACAAUCACCCCAUAAAUGGAACAAACAGAACAAAGUAUCUAGAGAUUUGACUUUGAUGGCCCUCAGGCAUGGGAAUUAUGCAGGAUGGGGCUUAAAAUCUAAUAAUACUUUCCGCAAAAUAUGACAAGAAUCUUCCAGGGCAUUGUAGAAUCAUGAUGUCACCCAAUACACACCAAAAAUUUAUCAUAUUUCAUUCAAUUUUGUCUGGGUUCAUACUUAUACCUAUACCAAUCAUUUUGAUGAUACCUGUCUCAAUUCUAAGAUUCACGAACAAGAAAAUCAAGCAGAAUCCACCUAUAUUUUCAAUUUUCCUUCACCCAACCCAAGAUCUCAUGCAGCUGCUUCUCCUCCUGGUGGAGUCAAGUUCCUAACAUGAAGUUGAUUCCAGCCAAUUAUGAUGAUUAUUCUUAAGCGCCACAUAAUGCACAACUUCAUUUUAACAUUUAAGCCAAGCAGUCACUUCUUCUUUAUCUCCUAAGAUUGCUUUGCUGUACCAAUAACUUCCACUUUAAAAGUAAAUGGUUUCUCAUGAAUCAUAAACAUAUAAUAUCUCACCUGGUUAAUACCUUAGACAAGUUCCAAUCUUUUAUCCGUGCCAUUCACCUUUCAUACCUAGUUAGCACCAGGAACAGGAACACUACAAUAUUGUUCGACAAGUGAUGUACUGGAAGUUAAUUUUUCACCUUGAUAAUUCAGCAACUAGGAAAUUUGACUUAAUAAUUCUAAAAGCUUAACAAAGAUUUAGAAUUAUAUUGAUACAUUAUGAAAUAUUGCACAACUGAUAUUACAAAUAGGGUUUAACAGCUUAACUACAAGUAUACUUAUAUGGUGUUACCAGAACCACACCUGCCCAUAUAAUGGAUUCCCCACUAAAGCAUUUUCAAAUAAUCAGAGUCCCACAUCCUACAAUGGACAGGAUUUUUUUUUUUUUUAAAGGAGAUUAGGGAAAUGGAGACUUAAACUUGAGUUUGUUAAAGAAGUGAUAUGCUUUUAGCCAACUGGAUUAAGCCAGACUAAGCAUCAUAGACAGAUUUAACUUCACCUUUAGUGCCACAUUUGAAAUAACACCAAUGGAAGUAUUACAAAAUAUUUGCAAGCCUAAAACCAAGCAAUCCAGAAAACCAGCAUUUUACAACAUUUUAACUAUCCAAAUCCCACAAUAAGCUGAGAUUCCCCAACAAAAACUUGUGCCAGAAUCAACACGUGUAGUCAAUCAAACAAAAAGAGAAAGCGAUAGAGAUAAGAGGGAAAAAACCAAAAAACUCUCUAAGAGAAAUUCCACUAGCACUACCUAUAAAGCCAAUAGAAGUAAAGAACACCAACUCCUAAAGAUUAACUACCUAUUAACUCAAACAGGCCAUUUAAGUUACAAAUCACUGCCUAAUUUCCCAGCAUUUUUCAGUGAUCAUAACAUAUAAUAGCCAACAAAUCCAUAACGGUAAUAUCAAAGUGAAACAACAAACUUGGCACAUGAAAAUAUUUUGCUGAUGAAAAAUAGGAUCACAAAUAUAUCAGACAAUCUGACUCUGACGUGCACAUAUUUCAAAAAUAGAGUAUCAAGGAAGGAGAGUAAAAUGAAUGAUGGAGAUAACAGGCAUUCCAAUUUGAUAGUACACAUUUUCUGUCACUUGUAUUGAACUUUCAUAUUGAACAAAGCAUUUUGGUUAUUAGAACACAUGAGCGCCAAGACGAUUAGUUCCACAAGAGACUACAACUGCGUGGACAGUCCAAAAACAGUUAACAUAAUCCCAGCAUUCAUUAAUCGAAUUUCAUUGCUGAGAGAAAGAUAACCUGGUAAAAAACAAAUUCUACGCUUAGUUGAAAAUAUCAAAGUAACUCAUAUGCCAAAACCAAAAACUGCCCGUAUCCUGUGGAAAAUAAGAUCCCGCCAUCCUCUCUCUGUGUUCUCCACCACAGUUGCAUUCCCAUAUCUGUCUUCCUCAGGAAUGUCAGUGUGCAAAAGCUGGAUAACAGUAAGCCCAGGUUCAGGUUCAUCGAAAGUAAGUCUUACCGUUGAAACAAUUCCAUCAGGCCAGCUCCCGAACCUCCACUUCUGCACUAUUAUUUUACCUUCCUGCAACUCCACAUUGGUCCCUGUCACCGACCCAUCAAAAAUACUAAACUCCCCUCCUAAUUCUUUACUUAUUCUCGCAUUACUCUGAGUAAAACCUUUCCAUCUAUUCUCAUCCAUCAAUAUCUCAUACAUAUCCCUAGCUCUGCAACUAAACUUCUCCGUCAUACUUAUAGUUUUAAAUCCUUUAUUUGUUUCUUUCUUAAACCCUUUACUCGAUUCUUUCUUCACCUCCUUCUUCUCUCCGGCUGCAGGGGUCGCCGAAUCAGCCUCAGCCUCCUUUACCGCGGUAGAUUGCCCCUUGGGCGCGACCUUCUUUGCUUCCAAUUCAUCCUUAGCAGGUCCACCCUUGGCCAUACUUUGAACAUAAAUCCUGAUUUUCUCUUCAAUCACCGGUUUUCCUUUAGCCACCAUUGCUUCCUUCAAUCUCUUUCCAACUGGGCCCUCAUCCUUGAUGGUCACCUUAAUUUCCGGAUCCUCGUCAGCAUUCUCGUCCGAAAUAUACGGGAUCUCAACGGAUCCAUCCACCUUAAGCAAAGAUUUUCCAUCAGAAUCCUUAGCUUCACCUUCCCAAGAAAGGGAGACAUUAAGCUCAUACCCUGGAAUGUUUUUACCCUUUCGAACGUUGACGUAGGCCUCGCCAUCGACCUUCUCGAUCUUCUUGAUCUUGAUGAAAAGAUUUCCUUCGCCAUCAAGGAUAACGAGAUUAGAGAGAAGAUUGGAGAGGAGGCUCCGCGACCAUUCCAAGCAAUCGGUCUCGGCCCAAUGCCAAUUGUGGACAUUGGCGCCGUCUGGUCUAUCCUCUACGAUCCAGCGCUUGUCCCCUUCUCCGUACUUGGCCAUGAACGAGAGGAAUUUAGAAAUUAAAAGUGGUAGAUUAAGAGAUAAAGAUUGAAGCUUUGGAUCGAGAGAGUUGAGAACAGAUUGCGAGGGGGAAGAGGGGAAAGGGAAAUAUAAAGGGGAAGAAGCUGCUUUGUGGGAGUCUGGAGGGUCCUUCCAAAGUUAGAAGGCUCUAGAA